RNAcentral lists this unclassified non-coding RNA (382 nucleotides) under uncultured bacterium. RNAcentral describes it as "contains 16S-23S intergenic spacer region". The record is from RNAcentral.
UCCGAGUUUCCUCGGCAGUCCCGCUAGAGUAGCUGCCUUGCGGCGAGCAACUAGCGGCAAGGGUUGCGCUCGUUAAAGGACUUAACCCAACAUCUCACGACACGAGCUGACGACAGCCAUGCAGCACCUGUGUAACCGUUUGUAUUACUACAAAACCCAGUAUUUCUACCAGUAGCAGUUACAUGUCAAGUCCAGGUAAGGUUCCUCGCGUAUUGUCGAAUUAAACCACAUGUUCCACCGCUUGUGCGGACCCCCGUCAAUUUCUUUGAGUUUUAAUCUUGCGACCGUACUCCCCAGGCGGAUCACUUAACGCGUUAGCUUCGACACAGACCCUGCUAAGCAAAGCCCAUAUCUAGUGAUCAUCGUUUACGGCGUGGACUAC